This 558-nucleotide ribosomal RNA is filed under the name uncultured bacterium. Its description in RNAcentral is "partial 16S ribosomal RNA". It matches the Rfam family "Bacterial small subunit ribosomal RNA", at positions 355 to 902 of the family's 1533-position model. The record is from RNAcentral.
UGGGGAAUUUUGGACAAUGGGCGCAAGCCUGAUCCAGCAAUGCCGCGUGCAGGAUGAAGGCCUUCGGGUUGUAAACCGCUUUUGUACGGAACGAAAAGCCUCUCUCUAAUACAGGGGGGUGAUGACGGUACCGUAAGAAUAGGCACCGGCUAACUACGUGCCAGCAGCCGCGGUAAUACGUAGGGUGCAAGCGUUAAUCGGAAUUACUGGGCGUAAAGCGUGCGCAGGCGGUUUUGUAAGACAGUGGCGAAAUCCCCGGGCUCAACCUGGGAACUGCCAUUGUGACCGCAAGGCUGGAGUGCGGCAGAGGGGGGAUGGAAUUCCGCGUGUAGCAGUGAAAUGCGUAGAUAUGCGGAGGAACACCGAUGGCGAAGGCAAUCCCCUGGGCCUGNACUGACGCUCAUGCACGAAAGCGUGGGGAGCAAACAGGAUUAGAUACCCUGGUAGUCCACGCCCUAAACGAUGUCAACUGGUUGUUGGGGAUUUAUUUUUUCCAGUAACGAAGCUAACGCGUGAAGUUGACCGCCUGGGGGAGUACGGCCGCAAGGUUAAAAACUC